CGGAUAUAGCUGGUUCUCCCCGAAAUAGCUUUAGGGCUAGCCUCGAAUAUAUUUACCGGAGGUAAAGCACUGAAUGGUCGAGGGGUCGAGAGACUACCAACACCUAUCAAACUAAGAAUACCGGAUAAAUGAGUUCGGGAGUCAGACUACGUGAGAUAAGUCUCGUGGUCAAAAGGGAAACAGCCCAGACCCACAGCUAAGGUCCCCAAUGUAUGCUAAGUGGAAAACGAUGUGACAAUGCUAAGACAACUAGGAUGUUGGCUUAGAAGCAGCCACUCAUUCAAAGAGUGCGUAAUAGCUCACUAGUCGAGUGAUGUUGCGCGGAAAAUUCAACGGGGCUAAGCAUACAACCGAAGCUUGGGCAGUAGAAAUACUGGGUAGGGGAGCGUUCUGUACGGGCAGAAGCAUCAGCGGAAGCAGAUGUGGACUGUACAGAAGUGAGAAUGCCGGAAUGAGUAGCGAGAAUUGUGUGAGAAUCAUAAUGGCCGAAAAUCUAAGGUUUCCGGGGGUAGGGUCGUCCACCCCGGGUUAGCCGGGAGCUAAGGCGAGGCCGCGAGGCGUAGUCGAUGCACAAACGGUAGAGAUUCCGUUGCCGCCAGAUCUUAAGUAACUGACACGAGGGUAGAGUUCAACCCGGCCGAUGGUAGAGCCGGGCGAAAGGGACUGAAGAAUAGUAGGGAAGUGAACGAAGCCAGCGGCGAGAAAAGGUUAUGUAUGAAAUCAGGCGCCCGUACCGCAAACCGACACAGGUAGAUGAGGAGAGGAUCCUAAGGCCAGCGGGAGAAGGGUUGUUAAGGAACUCGGCAUAUUGACCCCGUAACUUCGGAAGAAGGGGUGCCUCCGUAAGGAGGCCGCAGUGAAAAGGCCCAGGCAACUGUUUAUCAAAAACACAGGUUUCUGCAAAAGCGAAAGCUGAAGUAUAGGAGCUGACGCCUGCCCGGUGCUGGAAGGUCAAGGGGAUCGCUUAGCGCAAGCGAAGGCGAGAACUUAAGCCCCAGUAAACGGCGGCCGUAACUAUAACGGUCCUAAGGUAGCGAAAUUCCUUGCCAGGUAAGUUCUGGCCUGCACGAAUGGCGUAAUGAUCUGGGCACUGUCUCAACAGCCCGCCCGGCGAAAUUGUAGUACCGGUGAAGAUGCCGGUUUCCUGCGACUAGACGGAAAGACCCCAUGGAGCUUUACUGUAGUCUGAUACUGAAAUUUGGUUCAUUAUGCACAGGAUAGGUGGGAGACAGAGAAACCCGGGCUUUGGCUUGGGCGGAGUCGCCGUUGGGAUACCACUCUUGAUGAACCAAGUUUCUAACCUGCUCCCGUGAUCCGGGAGGGGGACAAUGUCAGAUGGGCAGUUUGACUGGGGCGGUCGCCUCCAAAAGAGUAACG
This 1377-nucleotide ribosomal RNA is filed under the name human gut metagenome. Its description in RNAcentral is "bacterial LSU rRNA". It matches the Rfam family "Bacterial large subunit ribosomal RNA", at positions 840 to 2302 of the family's 2925-position model. The record is from RNAcentral.